RNAcentral lists this ribosomal RNA (301 nucleotides) under uncultured bacterium. RNAcentral describes it as "partial 16S ribosomal RNA". It matches the Rfam family "Bacterial small subunit ribosomal RNA", at positions 509 to 809 of the family's 1533-position model. The record is from RNAcentral.
CAGUCGCCACGGUAAUACGAAGGGUGCAAGCGUUACUCGGAAUUACUGGGCGUAAAGCGUGCGUAGGUGGUGGUUUAAGUCCGUUGUGAAAGCCCUGGGCUCAACCUGGGAAUUGCAGUGGAUACUGGGUCACUAGAGUGUGGUAGAGGAUAGUGGAAUUUCCGGUGUAGCAGUGAAAUGCGUAGAGAUCGGAAGGAACAUCUGUGGCGAAGGCGACUAUCUGGGCCAACACUGACACUGAGGCACGAAAGCGUGGGGAGCAAACAGGAUUAGAUACCCCAGUAGUCCCUGUCUCUUAUAA